Long non-coding RNA from Saccostrea cuccullata (small rock oyster), 946 nucleotides. RefSeq lists it as uncharacterized. NCBI's taxonomy places the organism in Eukaryota, Metazoa, Mollusca, Bivalvia, Ostreida, Ostreidae. The record is from RefSeq and is a predicted model, not a curated record. The transcript is spliced from 3 exons.
CCAUCGAGAAGCAAGGGUACGGGACGAACAGUUAGUUUUUCUUAAGCAGAAAGUCAAUAAACAUGAUGAAGAGUUUCCGCUCCUGCAAGAGAAAAACAAGGAAUUACACCUAUCGUUAACGCAGCUGAAAGACGAAUUAUCACUAAUUAAACAGAAAAAGACAGAACAUUAUUUUGGCGAGUGCCUGUGGUCAGAUUACGUGAACAAUUUUGACCAGGAAUUUAUCUACGCCCCCGAGAGCUAUGUCAUUUCCGGUGUUAGUAGCUAUCAUCAGAACGCUCAGGAGGAUCGACGGUUUAAGUUUAAAGUGUGCAAGCUGCUGAGAAGAUAAAGAAUUUUAAUAAAAAUUUUUCCGAGUCCUGUGUUACGGAAUUGACUCUUCGAUCAAUACUUCGUUAUAUACGAGGGGUGUUAGGAAAGUUCGCGGACAAGUUCUAUUGUGAGCGCGCUAUUUCCACGAAACCAGUCAAACUUUCCAGAUAAAAUCUUAACCUAUUUUCCAAUAAAUAUACAAAAAAUUGGUGCUCUCAAGUGAUCAUUGAAAAAUAUACAGCUUUUUAAUUUUGAUAAAACUUGCUUGACGGAGCAUGUUACAUUUUGGCACAUUUACAUCACGAAGACUCUUUAUAAAAAUUAAAAAUUGCACAAUUUUAGCGCAAAGAGAUUUAUAAUAUUUUACCUGUCGCAAAAGUAUUCAUGAAACGUCACUGGGAGAAAUUUUGAAUUAAGUUGGAUGGUAUAUGACUGUUUUAUAGCCAUUUAAAAAUGAUCAACUCGUAAAAACACAGCCAAAAAUCGGAACGUCACUGAGCGUCAUGGAGCACUGCACUACGUAAAAUUAUGUGUGCAGACAGUAAAAUGUCUGAAAAGAGAUUGAAACGUUCAAGAUGCUGCCGGGAAUUCUUACACAUACAAAGGACAGUUUUCUAAAGGUUGAAGCUUUAUA